Molecule: non-coding RNA, 857 nt
Organism: Lepisosteus oculatus (spotted gar)
Lineage: Eukaryota; Metazoa; Chordata; Actinopteri; Semionotiformes; Lepisosteidae
Source: RefSeq, a predicted model, not a curated record
UCUGCGAGCUGAGGGCGUCCAGACGCAGGGCCAGCCUCCGCACGCCGUGACGGGAGUUGUCUGCAAUCCCAAAGGCUUGUGGCUUGAAUUGCCAUUUUUUCCCCCGCUGCCUGAGCCAAAGACAGGGUCAGAUAGACCCUUCAAAGCUGACUGGCAAGAAAGGAUGGGAGAAAGUGUGUUUGAGGUCCACCUGCUGACGCCCACAAUAAUGGGCUUCAGAUCAGAUGGCAAUGCGACUUGAUAGUCUUCCCUGCCAGCAUAAGGGAACCACUUGAUCUCAACCUGACUACGAGGAGGAUUUUACAGGCUAAGUCAACAGAAGCCAGAAAAACAAUCCUGCUGGUUCCAGCACAGACUGCUCUGCCGCUCGAGAUCCGCCUGCUGGACGUUAUACGCCUGAUGCGGAGCAUCAUCGCAUCCUGGGUAUGGUGCUCUGCAGCUGCUCAGACUGCAACUCAAGCUGCUCUACCUCCAUGAUUAUUUGUGAGUGUAAAUCUUGAGAUCUGACAGCCAGCGUCCUAUCCAGAGCUGUCAAAUACUCAGCCUGUAAUAACUUAUUGUUUCCUUCGUGAUCUGUCCCUCCCUGCUCCCUCAUGCCUCUUCUCACUCAGCACGAAGUCUCGCAGACCCCAGCCUGACCACUGUCCAGCCCUUUUCCCUUUGCCCUCGUUAACACAGCAGCCAUCUAAUUACCUCAUCCCAUCCGGUCGUGUUUAUCCAGCUGGAGCAGCAGGUUUGAUUUUCUCAGCCAAGGGAUUGUGCCAACAAGCAAAUAGCAUUUUUUUUUUUUUUAAAGGAGUAUUAAAAGAGGUUUAUGUUAAGCCAGGGAACAAUAAGGAAAUGAAGGGGAAUUUUGU